AUACGUAGGGGGCGAGCGUUGUCCGGAAUGAUUGGGCGUAAAGGGCGCGUAGGCGGCCCGGUAAGUCUGGAGUGAAAGUCCUGUUUUUAAGAUGGGAAUUGCUUUGGAUACUGUCGGGCUUGAGUGCUGGAGAGGUAAGUGGAAUUCCCAGUGUAGCGGUGAAAUGCGUAGAGAUUGGGAGGAACACCAGUGGCGAAGGCGACUUACUGGACUGUAACUGACGCUGAGGCGCGAAAGUGUGGGGAGCAAACAGGAUUAGAUACCCUGGUAGUCCACACUGUAAACGAUGAGUGCUAGGUGUAGGGGGUAUCGACCCCUUCUGUGCCGCAGUCAACACAAUAAGCAUUCCGCCUGGGGAGUACGGCCGCAAGGUUGAAACUCAAAGGAAUUGACGGGG
Molecule: ribosomal RNA, 397 nt
Filed under: uncultured bacterium
Lineage: Bacteria
Description: partial 16S ribosomal RNA
Rfam family: Bacterial small subunit ribosomal RNA
Source: RNAcentral